GUAGGGGCCAAGCGUUAUCCGGAUUUAUUGGGGCGUAAAGAGCUCGUAGGCGGCUUGGCAAGUCGGUCGUGAAAGUCCGAGGCUCAACCUCGGGAAUGCCGGGUCGAAACUGCCAUGGCUAGGGUUCGGUAGAGGAGAGUGGAAUUCUCGGUGUAGCGGUGAAAUGCGCAGAUAUCGAGAGGAACACCAGUAGCGAAGGCGGCUCUCUGGGCCGAUACCGACGCUGAGGAGCGAAAGCGUGGGGAGCGAACAGGAUUAGAUACCCUGGUAGUCCACGCCGUAAACGGUGAUCACUAGGUGUGGCGGACUCAUUGACGUCUGCUGUGCCGGCGCUAACGCAUUAAGUGAUCCGCCUGGGGAGUACGGCCGCAAGGCUA
Molecule: ribosomal RNA, 377 nt
Filed under: uncultured organism
Description: partial 16S ribosomal RNA
Rfam family: Bacterial small subunit ribosomal RNA
Source: RNAcentral